RNAcentral lists this ribosomal RNA (387 nucleotides) under Ochromonas sp. CCMP1393. Its description in RNAcentral is "partial Bacterial large subunit ribosomal RNA". It matches the Rfam family "Bacterial large subunit ribosomal RNA", at positions 2525 to 2925 of the family's 2925-position model. Lineage: Eukaryota; Chrysophyceae; Chromulinales; Chromulinaceae. The record is from RNAcentral.
CUCGAUGUCGGCUCGUCGCAUCCUGGGGCUGGAGUAGGUCCCAAGGGUUGGGCUGUUCGCCCAUUAAAGCGGUACGUGAGCUGGGUUCAGAACGUCGUGAGACAGUUUGGUCCCUAUCUGCCGUGGGUGUUGGAAACUUGAGAGGAUCUGUCCUUAGUACGAGAGGACCGGGAUGGACAUACCUCUGGUGGACCUGUUGUGGCGCCAGCCGCAUUGCAGGGUAGCUAUGUAUGGACGGGAUAACCGCUGAAUGCAUCUAAGCGGGAAACCCACCUCAAAACCAGGUUUCCCUUGAGAGCCGUUCUAGACUAGGACGUCGAUAGGCCAGGUGUGGAAGCGCUGCGAAGCGUGGAGCUUACUGGUACUAAUUGCUCGAUUGGCUUGAUC